UACACACCGCCCGUCACACCAUGGGAGUCGUUUGCUCCAGAAGUGCCUGCGCCAACCUCACGGAGGCAGGGCCCCAAGGAGUGAACGGUAACUGGGGUG
This 99-nucleotide ribosomal RNA is filed under the name uncultured bacterium. Its description in RNAcentral is "partial 16S ribosomal RNA". It matches the Rfam family "Bacterial small subunit ribosomal RNA", at positions 1384 to 1482 of the family's 1533-position model. The record is from RNAcentral.